This 374-nucleotide ribosomal RNA is filed under the name uncultured eukaryote. Its description in RNAcentral is "partial 18S ribosomal RNA". It matches the Rfam family "Eukaryotic small subunit ribosomal RNA", at positions 592 to 976 of the family's 1831-position model. The record is from RNAcentral.
UAAUAGCGUAUACUUAAGUUGUUGCAGUUAAAAAGCUCGUAGUCGGAUGUCGGGCUUGGGCAGGCUGUCGGCUUUUGUCGGACGGCAGGCUCGGGCCUUUCUGCCUGGGGACCGCGUCACACUUCACUGUGGGGCGUCGGGACGCAGGCCGUUUACUUUGAAAAAAUUAGAGUGUUCAAGGCAGGCCUACGCUUGAAUACAUUAGCAUGGAAUAAUGGAAUAGGACUUUGGUGCCAUUCUGUUGGUUUAUGGAACCGAAGUAAUGAUUAAUAGGGACAGUUGGGGCCGUUUAUAUUUCGUUGUCAGAGGUGAAAUUCUUGGAUUUACGAAAGAGAAACUUCUGCGAAAGCAUUCGGCAAGGAUGUUUUCAUUGA